AUGAUGAACCACGUGUUGAAGGGAGUGCAGUGCCUUCCGAUCAGCGCGAUAGUGAAGGUGACACUCAACCGUAUGGAAGAGUACUUCAAAAGCACAAGCGAUGCAGCAAAAGAAGCAAUAGAGAAUCCAGUAAUGAACUUCCCUAAAAGAGUCCAGGAUGACAUUAAUUCCAAAAUGCAAAAGGCCCAGACUCAUCAAGUUAUCCGCAUGACCACCAAGGACAAAAAUGCUGCGAAAGAUGUCGGAAAAUUUGUGGUUAAGUCAGGGCAGAAGCGUGUAAGUGUUCACCUGGAUUCAGAAUAUGCCACUGGCAUGAAAAUGUCUCGAGGAUGCAGAAUCAGAAAAAGUGCCGCGUGUUCAUGCAACAAGCCGCAUCUUCUUCGCAUGCCCUGCUCUCAUGUCAUUGCCGUCUGCUCUCAUAUUGGAGUUAGCGCUGCUACAUACGUGUCCCCAUACUACACCUUGUCCUAUCUAGGAGAUACCUGGAGCAGCAAAUCUGUUGUAUCCGACUCUUCAUAUGACUACAGGAAAUUUGGCUCUGCGACAACAACUUGGAUCCCGGACAAAAAGUUGGAGUGUGGCCUUCCUGUGUUUCCAACAUCAGACUGCAUACAAACUGGCCCGGAUGAGGAAGAUCAAUAG
This 642-nucleotide ribosomal RNA is filed under the name Triticum aestivum (bread wheat). RNAcentral describes it as "partial small subunit ribosomal RNA". The record is from RNAcentral. Lineage: Eukaryota; Viridiplantae; Streptophyta; Magnoliopsida; Poales; Poaceae.